UAGGGAAUCUUCCGCAAUGGACGCAAGUCUGACGGAGCAACGCCGCGUGAGUGAAGAAGGAUUUCGGUUCGUAAAACUCUGUUGUUAGAGAAGAACAGCGCAUAGAGUAACUGUUAUGCGUGUGACGGUAUCUAACCAGAAAGCCACGGCUAACUACGUGCCAGCAGCCGCGGUAAUACGUAGGUGGCAAGCGUUGUCCGGAUUUAUUGGGCGUAAAGCGAGCGCAGGCGGUCAAUUAAGUCUGAUGUGAAAGCCCCCGGCUCAACCGGGGAGGGUCAUUGGAAACUGGUUGACUUGAGUGCAGAAGAGGAGGGUGUAAUUCCAUGUGUAGCGGUGAAAUGCGUAGAUAUAUGGAGGAACACCAGUGGCGAAGGCGACUCUCUGGUCUGUAACUGACGCUGAGGUUCGAAAGCGUGGGUAGCAAACAGG
Molecule: ribosomal RNA, 429 nt
Filed under: Bacteroidota bacterium
Lineage: Bacteria; Pseudomonadati; Bacteroidota
Description: Bacteroidetes bacterium partial 16S ribosomal RNA
Rfam family: Bacterial small subunit ribosomal RNA
Source: RNAcentral